This 471-nucleotide ribosomal RNA is filed under the name Themus sp. UPOL 001302. RNAcentral describes it as "partial 16S ribosomal RNA". The record is from RNAcentral. Lineage: Eukaryota; Metazoa; Arthropoda; Insecta; Coleoptera; Cantharidae.
CAUGUCUUUUUGAUUUUAAUAUAAAGUCUGAUCUGCUCAAUGAAUAAUAUUUAAAUAGCUGCAGUAUUUUGACUGUACAAAGGUAGCAUAAUAAAUAGUUUUUUAAUUGAAAGCUGGAAUGAAGGAUUGGACGAGAAAAUUACUGUCUCAAUUUUAUUUAAAUUGAAUUUAACUUUUUAGUUAAAAGGCUAAAAUUUUUUUAAAAGACGAGAAGACCCUAUAGAGUUUUAUAGUUAACUUUUUUUAAUUUUUUUAGUAUUAUUAUUAAUUAAAUAAAGGUUAAUUAUUUGGUUGGGGUGAUUAAAAAAUUUAUUAAACUUUUUUAUUUAAAAAAUUAUUUAUAUGUAAAUUUAUUUUCUAUAGAUUUUUAAAUUUAAAAUAAAUUACCUUAGGGAUAACAGCGUAAUAGAUUUUUGAAGUUCGUAUUUAAAAAUUUGAUUGCGACCUCGAUGUUGGAUUAAAAUUUAUUAU